RNAcentral lists this ribosomal RNA (2563 nucleotides) under Corallinales sp. RNAcentral describes it as "partial 28S ribosomal RNA". It matches the Rfam family "Eukaryotic large subunit ribosomal RNA", at positions 72 to 2851 of the family's 3401-position model. Lineage: Eukaryota; Rhodophyta; Florideophyceae; Corallinales. The record is from RNAcentral.
GGAUUCCCUUAGUAGCGGCGAGCGAAGCGGGAUGAGACCGAGAUGAAAAUCCCUUCGGGGAGUUGUAAUCUGAUUUAUGUUGAGUGUUCAGUGAAUGUAAGUCACAUGGAAUUGUGUACCGUGGAGGGUGAGAGUCCCGUCCAGCAUUCACAGGAAUUUCUCGUACGACAUAAAUUCAACCGAGUCGGGUAGCUUGAGAUCGCUGCUCUAAUAGGUGGUAAACUUCAUCUAAGUCUAAAUACUGGUGGGAGACCGAUAGCGAACAAGUACCGUGAGGGAAAGAUGGAAAGCACUUUGAAAAGAGGGUGAAAAGUACCUGAAACCGCCACGGGGGAAGCGUAUUGUAUCAGUGUGGUGCGGCGUCUGUUCAGCAAAUUUCGAUUUGUGUAUUCAGCGCUAGCUGUGUUGGAAUGGCUGUUGAACUAUAGAUAAUGCACGGUUUGAUGGUGAGGGCUCCCUUCGGGUGAGGAUUUCAGCAAAAUGAUGCGAUUCGACCCGUCUUGAAACACGGACCAAGGAGUUUAGCAUUACUGCGAGUCGAAGAGUGAUAAAACUCAGAGGCGAAGUGAAAGCGAACAUUUGGAAACCUUAACAGGUUGAGGAGGUGUUGCGUCAUUGACAAAACAUCCUACCUAGAGCAGUAAUGCUGAGACCCGAAAGAUGGUGAACUAUGCCGGAGUAGGGCAAAGCCAGAGGAAACUCUGGUGGAGGCUCGUAGCGAUGCUGACGUGCAAAUCGCUCGUCGAACUUGGGUAUAGGGGCGAAAGACUAAUCGAACCAUCUAGUAGCUGGUUCCCUCCGAAGUUUCUCUCAGGAUAGCGGGCCGACAGUGGGUUGUUUUGUGUGGUAAAGCGAAUGAUUAGCGUAUUUGGGGACGUAAUAUCUUCGGUCGAUUCUCAAACUUUAAAUACGCAAGAUAGAGGUGGUUGCUUAAUUGAACCUCUCUACUGAAAACGUCGGCCCUGUGGGCCACUUUUGGUAAGCAGAACUGGCGAUAUGGGAUGAACCAUAAGUUUGGUUAAGGCGUCAAAAUAUCCGCUUAAAGAUCCCACAAAAGGUGUUGGUUCAUCUAGACAGCAGGACGGUGGCCAUGGAAGUCGGAAUCCGCUAAGGCUGCCGAAUGAACUAGCCCUGAAAAUGGAUGACGCUUAAGCGGAUUGCCGACACCAGACCGUUUUGAUAAGAAGCGACCAAAAUGAGUAGGAGGGCGUGGCGGUUUUGUUGAGAAGGAUGAGACGCAAGUCUGUCUGAAACGGCCGCUAGUGCAGAUCUUGGUGGUAGUAGCAAAUAUUCAAGCGAGAUCCUUGAAGGGCGAAGCGGGGAAGGGUUCCACGCGAACAUUGAUUGGGCGUGGGUGAGUCGUUCCUAAGCCGGGUGGUAAUCGUUCUUACAACCGGCGAAGGGGAAGCGGGUUAAAAUUCCCGCACACGGAUGUGAAGGCGGGGACCCAAUUUGAGGUGAAAACGUUAGCGAGGGCCCUGGGCAAAGUUGUCUUUUCUGUUUAACCUGUGAGAUGCUCUCUGUGGAAUCCGAUUAUCGGGAGAAACAGGCGCUUAUGGGAAGAGCGUCAGGGCGUCCCCGGCGUCCAGUACGCCACCGAUACCCCUUGAAAAUCCAUCUGCAAUAAAUUCUCGCGCCGUGGCGUACCGAUCACCGCAUCAGGUCCCCAAGGUGAACAGCCUCUGCUCAAUAUGAACAAUGCAUGUAAGGGAACUCGGCAAUAUACCCGUAUCUCUGGGAAAAGGGUUGGCUCUCGUGUGGUGAGGGAGAUUACUGAGGAACUGUGAGAUGCUGAACGGGUGUCCGGCGGAGGUAACUGGUGCAACACGGGUUUGGGCUCUUCUUGAUCGCAUUGCGAUGGCCGAGGUCGGUGUAGACGCAAUGUGAUUUCUGCUCAGUGCUCUGAAUGUCAAAGUGAAGAGAUUCAAACAAGCGCGGGUAAACAGCGGGAGUAACUAUGACUCUCUUAAGGUAGCCAAAUGCCUCGUCAUCUAAUUAGUGACGCGCAUGAAUGGAUUAACGAGAUUCCUACUGUCCCUAUCUGCUUCUAGCGAAACCACAGCCGAGGGAACGGGCUCGGCGAAAUCGGCGGGGAAAGAAGACCCUGUUGAGCUUGACUCUAUUCUAAUUUUGUGACGCAAGUUAGGAGGUGUAGCAUAGGUGGGAGACUUCAGACGCCAAUGAAAUACCACUACUCUUAAUCUUGUUUUACUUAUGGCAUUAGACUGCACGAUCUUUAAGGUCUAUUUUAGCAUCAACUUGGAUUAUGGUAUAUGCUCGUCAGAGUAAUGUCCCCUUGGAGCAGCGUGCCUGACAUAUUUAGGAGGGGAGUUUGGCUGGGGCGGCACAUCUUCUACAAGACAACGAAGGUGUCCAAAGAUAAGCUCAGUGAGAACAGAAAUCUCACGUAGCGCAAAAGGGUAAAAGCUUGUUUGAUUUCGAUUUUCAGUGUGAGUUGAAAACGCGAAAGCGUGGCCUAUCGAUCCUUUCACAAUUCGAGGUUUGAAGCGAGAGGUGUCAGAAAAGUUACCACAGGGAUAACUGGCUUGUGGCGGCCAAGCGU